GAGGGUGUAGCUCAGUUGGUUAGAGUACUUGCUUGACAUGCAAGGGGUCGAUGGUUCAAAUCCAUUCAUCCUCA
Molecule: transfer RNA, 74 nt
Filed under: Ruminococcus sp. CAG:563
Lineage: Bacteria; Bacillati; Bacillota; Clostridia; Eubacteriales; Oscillospiraceae
Rfam family: tRNA
About the family: Transfer RNA (tRNA) molecules are approximately 80 nucleotides in length. Their secondary structure includes four short double-helical elements and three loops (D, anti-codon, and T loops).
Source: Rfam by way of RNAcentral